CAGGGUUGUUUAACUCACUGCCCAACUCUCGUGGUUGUGGCUUGUCGGAUGACAUUGAGAUACUUGCGAUCAGGCAACUGAUUGUAGGUGACUCGAUCUCGUUCUAGUACCCGAAGCAUCACAAGUCGAGACCCGACGGUUCCUAACUGUCGACUCGUAAUGUGACGCGCUACUCUUUAUCAGAGAGAGCUGCCAAAUGGCGUCCAACUUGACUUCUAUGGUGUCCGAGUGAACAUCAAGACGUGUAUCAUAACGUGUCUCGAUAAGAUCUAGGGCAUUCGUCUAACCGGCUCGUCGCUCUGUGCUGAAUAAUGAGGUUCGUUUGUCGAAGGAUCUUCGGAUUCUAAAACAAAACGUUGCGUGUCUUGCUAUUAUCAACCUGAACUCAGUCGUGAUUACCCGCUGAACUUAAGCAUAUCAUUUAGCGGAGGAAAAGAAACUAAAAAGGAUUCCCUUAGUAACGGCGAGUGAAACGGGAUGAGCCCAGCGCCGAAUCGAUCAGCCUAUGGUUGCUUCGAAAUGUGGCGUAUAGGUGUAGUCUUCCAGCAGUGUCGUGAGUCCGAAGUCCUUACGAUUGAGGCCAUAGACCAGAGAGGGUGCGAGUCCCGUCCUGGAUUGCGAUGCUGUUGGUUCGAUUGCUCCUUGGAGUCGGGUUGCUUGAAAGUGCAGCCUAAAGUGGGUGAUAAACUUCAUCUAAGGCUAAAUAUUGACUCGAUUGCGAUAGCGAACAAGUACCGUGAGGGAAAGUUGCAAAGGACUUUGAAGAGAGAGUUCAAGAGAACGUGAAAUCGCUGGAGUGGAACCGGAGACAGUUGAUGUUGCUUGGAGACAAGUUUGGUGGCUGGUCGCUUAGUUGUGAUCGUCGCCGGAUGUCGUUUCCUAUGCUACGCCGACGGCGUUGGUCGCUCGUUCUGGCCCGACAGUGUUGCCCAGCUCGCAAGAGUCGGUGUCUUGUUGUCGGUCGUUGGUUCGUGGUGGCUAGCGUUUAGUUACGCUAGUGUGUGUGACGUCGGUGUGAAAGUCGACGACGUUUCCGACCCGUCUUGAAACACGGAUUGCGGAGUGCUUGUCUACUGCGAGUCAAAGGGUGUUAAAACCUUGCGGCGAAAUGAAAGUGAAGGUCAGUCUUGAAUUGGCCGACGUGGGAUCGGUGCUCCUCGGAGUGCUGCGCACCACGGCCCUGUGCGUGUCACUUGUGACUGUGCAGAGGUUGAGCAGUUGGCAAACGACCCGAAAGAUGGUGAACUAUGCCUGAGCAGGAUGAAGCCAGAGGAAACUCUGGUGGAAGUCCGUAUCGGUUCUGACGUGCAAAUCGAUCGAUAGACUUGGGUAUAGGGGCGAAAGACUAAUCGAACCAUCUAGUAGCUGGUUCCUUCCGAAGUUUCCCUCAGGAUAGCUGGAUCUCCGGCAGUUAUAUUCGGUAAAGCUAAUGAUUAGAGGCCUUGGGGACGUAAUGUCCUCAACCUAUUCUCAAACUUUCAAUGGAUAUGAAGUUGCAGUUUCUUUAGUGAACUGUCAACGUGAAUGCGAGGUCCAAGUGGGCCAUUUUUGGUAAGCAGAACUGGCGCUGUGGGAUGAACCAAACGUGGAGUUAAGGUGCCUAACUUCUCGCUCAUGAGACCCCAUAAAAGGUGUUGGUUGAUAUUGACAGCAGGACGGUGGCCAUGGAAGUCGGUAUCCGCUAAGGAGUGUGUAACAACUCACCUGCCGAAUCAACUAGCCCUGAAAAUGGAUGGCGCUUAAGCGAGAGACCUAUACUCCGCCGUUGCGGCAUGUGCGUUGUCUAGCGCCAGGCCGUAACGAGUAGGAAGGUCGUGGCGGUUGCUUUGAAGGCUAUGAGCGUGGGCUCGGCUGGAGCUUCCGUCAGUGCAGAUCGUAAUGGUAGUAGCAAAUAUUCAAGUUCGAUCCUUGAAGACUGAAGUGGAGAAGGGUUCCACGUGAACAGUAGUUGGAUGUGGGUCAGUCGAUCCUAAGGUACUGGCGAACGCCUUGUAUCAUCGGUGGCGAAAAGCUUGCUUUUGGUCCCCGUUUGUCGAAAGGGAAUAGGGUUAAUAUUCCCUAACUGAGAUGCAAAGAUUGUGUUCUUCGGAGCACAAGCGCGGUAACGCAUUCGAACUUGGUUAGUCGCUCAAAGACCGAGCUAGAGUUUUCUUCUCUAGUUAAGGAACGGACUCCCUGGAAUUGGUUCAGCCAGAGAUGGGGACGUUGUUUCCGAAAAGCACCGCGGUUUCUGUGGUGUCUCGUGCUCUUUGAACGGCCCUUAAAACACCAAGGGAGGCUAUUAAUUUGCACUCAAUCGUACCGAUAUCCGCAUUAGGUCUCCAAGGUGAACAGCCUCUAGUCGAUAGAAUAAUGUAGGUAAGGGAAGUCGGCAAACUAGAUCCGUAACUUCGGG
Molecule: ribosomal RNA, 2395 nt
Filed under: Caenorhabditis elegans
Lineage: Eukaryota; Metazoa; Nematoda; Chromadorea; Rhabditida; Rhabditidae
Also listed under: 1 other name
Description: eukaryotic LSU rRNA
Rfam family: Eukaryotic large subunit ribosomal RNA (bases 376-2395)
Source: RNAcentral